AUGUCCCUCGCGCUCCUCGACUGCGACGGCCACCCCGCUCUGGGCCACGUCUGGCGUUUCCACCUGGGCGUGCCGCGCGCCGAGGACGAACGCUUCCUGGUGGAACUGGGCGUGGAGGAGGCCUCGGUCCGCCGCGCCGACCGCUCCCGCCUCGCCGGGGCUCUCACCGAGUGCUCCGCCAUCUACAACAGCCGUGUCACCUGGGUGACCUCCGACGGCGCCGAGGACAUCCUCCACCUGCUGGACUGCUUCCAGAACCCCCUCCUCGUGCGUAGAACCACCGACCGCCGGCAGCUCAUCCGGAGCUCGCGGACUUUCUUUCCGGAGCUGUACGACCUCAGGUUUCUGGCCGAGUGGCGGACCCUGUCCGGGGAGGAGCCUCCGCUGCUGGCGGCCGCCAAGUCCGGAAUGCCGGACGCGCUCCUCCGCGGCUUCCUUGCGCUGAUGAGAGAGCCGGCGUUCGCGGAGCGGAUGGUGGGGUACAACGGGAUGCUGUUCGGGCUCGGUCACUGUGACACCUCCGACAUCCAGCGGUUUUACAUGAGCUAUGAGGAGCAGGAAAACACGGGUCAAGGAGCAAAGGGCUGUGAAUCAAAACAGCUCUCUCAGCACUUCUAA
Molecule: ribosomal RNA, 618 nt
Filed under: Triticum aestivum (bread wheat)
Lineage: Eukaryota; Viridiplantae; Streptophyta; Magnoliopsida; Poales; Poaceae
Description: partial small subunit ribosomal RNA
Source: RNAcentral